This 1373-nucleotide ribosomal RNA is filed under the name uncultured bacterium. Its description in RNAcentral is "bacterial SSU rRNA". It matches the Rfam family "Bacterial small subunit ribosomal RNA", at positions 28 to 1381 of the family's 1533-position model. The record is from RNAcentral.
GAUGAACGCUGGCGGCGUGCCUAAUACAUGCAAGUCGAGCGAACGGACGAGAAGCUUGCUUCUCUGAUGUUAGCGGCGGACGGGUGAGUAACACGUGGAUAACCUACCUAUAAGACUGGGAUAACUUCGGGAAACCGGAGCUAAUACCGGAUAAUAUUUUGAACCGCAUGGUUCAAAAGUGAAAGACGGUCUUGCUGUCACUUAUAGAUGGAUCCGCGCUGCAUUAGCUAGUUGGUAAGGUAACGGCUUACCAAGGCAACGAUGCAUAGCCGACCUGAGAGGGUGAUCGGCCACACUGGAACUGAGACACGGUCCAGACUCCUACGGGAGGCAGCAGUAGGGAAUCUUCCGCAAUGGGCGAAAGCCUGACGGAGCAACGCCGCGUGAGUGAUGAAGGUCUUCGGAUCGUAAAACUCCGUUAUUAGGGAAGAACAUAUGUGUAAGUAACUGUGCACAUCUUGACGGUACCUAAUCAGAAAGCCACGACUAACUACGUGCCAGCAGCCGCGGUAAUACGUAGGUGGCAAGCGUUAUCCGGAAUUAUUGGGCGUAAAGCGCGCGUAGGCGGUUUUUUAAGUCUGAUGUGAAAGCCCACGGCUCAACCGUGGAGGGUCAUUGGAAACUGGAAAACUUGAGUGCAGAAGAGGAAAGUGGAAUUCCAUGUGUAGCGGUGAAAUGCGCAGAGAUAUGGAGGAACACCAGUGGCGAAGGCGACUUUCUGGUCUGUAACUGACGCUGAUGUGCGAAAGCGUGGGGAUCAAACAGGAUUAGAUACCCUGGUAGUCCACGCCGUAAACGAUGAGUGCUAAGUGUUAGGGGGUUUCCGCCCCUUAGUGCUGCAGCUAACGCAUUAAGCACUCCGCCUGGGGAGUACGACCGCAAGGUUGAAACUCAAAGGAAUUGACGGGGACCCGCACAAGCGGUGGAGCAUGUGGUUUAAUUCGAAGCAACGCGAAGAACCUUACCAAAUCUUGACAUCCUUUGACAACUCUAGAGAUAGAGCCUUCCCCUUCGGGGGGGCAAAGUGACAGGUGGUGCAUGGUUGUCGUCAGCUCGUGUCGUGAGAUGUUGGGUUAAGUCCCGCAACGAGCGCAACCCUUAAGCUUAGUUGCCAUCAUUAAGUUGGGCACUCUAAGUUGACUGCCGGUGACAAACCGGAGGAAGGUGGGGAUGACGUCAAAUCAUCAUGCCCCUUAUGAUUUGGGCUACACACGUGCUACAAUGGACAAUACAAAGGGCAGCGAAACCGCGAGGUCAAGCAAAUCCCAUAAAGUUGUUCUCAGUUCGGAUUGUAGUCUGCAACUCGACUACAUGAAGCUGGAAUCGCUAGUAAUCGUAGAUCAGCAUGCUACGGUGAAUACGUUCCCGGGUCU